RNAcentral lists this ribosomal RNA (465 nucleotides) under Vreelandella stevensii. RNAcentral describes it as "partial 16S ribosomal RNA". It matches the Rfam family "Bacterial small subunit ribosomal RNA", at positions 338 to 795 of the family's 1533-position model. The record is from RNAcentral. Lineage: Bacteria; Pseudomonadati; Pseudomonadota; Gammaproteobacteria; Oceanospirillales; Halomonadaceae.
CCUACGGGGGGCAGCAGUGGGGAAUAUUGGACAAUGGGCGAAAGCCUGAUCCAGCCAUGCCGCGUGUGUGAAGAAGGCCUUCGGGUUGUAAAGCACUUUCAGUGGGGAAGAAAGCCUUGGGGCUAAUACCCUCGAGGAAGGACAUCACCCACAGAAGAAGCACCGGCUAACUCCGUGCCAGCAGCCGCGGUAAUACGGAGGGUGCGAGCGUUAAUCGGAAUUACUGGGCGUAAAGCGCGCGUAGGCGGUCUGAUAAGCCGGUUGUGAAAGCCCCGGGCUCAACCUGGGAACGGCAUCCGGAACUGUCAGGCUAGAGUGCAGCAGAGGAAGGUAGAAUUCCCGGUGUAGCGGUGAAAUGCGUAGAGAUCGGGAGGAAUACCAGUGGCGAAGGCGGCCUUCUGGACUGACACUGACGCUGAGGUGCGAAAGCGUGGGUAGCAAACAGGAUUAGAUACCCCUGUAGUC